Molecule: ribosomal RNA, 362 nt
Filed under: uncultured Nitrososphaerota archaeon
Lineage: Archaea; Thermoproteati; Nitrososphaerota
Description: bacterial SSU rRNA
Rfam family: Archaeal small subunit ribosomal RNA
Source: RNAcentral
CGCGAAAAACUCUACAAUGCACGCAAGUGUGAUAGGGCAACCCCUCGUGCUUAUCGAAAGAUAGGUCUUUUAUUAUGUGUAGUGAUCAUAAUGAAUAAGUGGUGGGCAAGACCGGUGCCAGCAGCCGCGGUAAUACCGGCGCCACGAGUGGAGUUCACUAUUAUUGGGGUCUAAAGUGUCCGUAGCUGGUUUAUUAAGUCUCUUGUGAAAUUUCUGUUUGCUUAACUCAGAAACUGCAAGAGAUACUGGUAAACUCGAGACCGGAAGAGGUAACAAGUAUUGUUUGGGUAGCGGUAAAAUGCUAUAAUCCUUACAAGACUAACUAAGGCGAAGGCAUGUUACUUGGACGGAUCUGACAGUGA